CCAGCAGCUGCGGUAAUUCCAGCUCCAAUAGCAUAUAUUAAAGUUGUUGCAGUUAAAAAGCUCGUAGUUGGAUUUCUGGCAUGAUGCGCCUGGCCCUGCGUGAUUAUGCGUGUGUGUGCUAGUGCGCGUCUGCCAUCCAUUUGCAGAAUAUGUCUACCCUUAAUUGGGCCGGAUAUGUGAUGUAAAUCUUUUACUUUGAAAAAAUUAGAGUGUUUAAAGCAGGCAUUUGCUAUGAAUACAUUAGCAUGGAAUAAUAAUCUAGGACUUCGGUUCUAUUUUGUUGGUUUCUAGAUCUGGAGUAAUGAUUGAUAGGGAUAGUUGGGGGUGCUAGUAUUAAGGGGCCAGAGGUGAAAUUCUUGGAUUCUCUUAAGACUAACUUAUGCGAAAGCAUUCACCAAGGAUGUCUUCUUUAAUCAAGAACGAAAGU
This 427-nucleotide ribosomal RNA is filed under the name uncultured eukaryote. Its description in RNAcentral is "SSU rRNA". It matches the Rfam family "Eukaryotic small subunit ribosomal RNA", at positions 567 to 990 of the family's 1831-position model. The record is from RNAcentral.